AACAGGUUUGGUCCCAGCCUUUCUAUUAACUGUAAACAAACUUACACAUGCAAGUAUCCGCAUUCCAGUGAGAAUGCCCUAUAAAUCGCCCUAGCGAUAUAAAGGAGCGGGUAUCAAGCACACCAACAGGUAGCUCACAACACCUUGCUCAACCACACCCCCACGGGAAACAGCAGUGAUAAAAAUUAAGCAAUAAACGAAAGUUUGACUAAGUUAUAUUUACUUUAGGGUUGGUAAAUUUCGUGCCAGCCACCGCGGUCAUACGAUUAACCCAAGUCAAUAGAUCCACGGCGUAAAACGUGUUUAAGACAAUUAAAUGAUAAAGCCAAACUCUAACUACGCUGUAAAAAGCCACAGUUACCGUAAGCCCUACAACGAAAGUGACUUUAGAUAAUCUGAAUACACGACAGCUAAGACCCAAACUGGGAUUAGAUACCCCACUAUGCUUAGCCCUAAACCUAAAGAAUCCACAUAACAAGAUUCUUCGCCAGAGUACUACUAGCCAAAGCUUAAAACUCAAAGGACUUGGCGGUGCUUUAUAUCCUUCUAGAGGAGCCUGUUCUAUAAUCGAUACACCCCGAUAAACCUCACCAAUCCUUGCCAAUUCAGCCUAUAUACCGCCAUCUUCAGCAAACCCUAAAAAGGCCCUACAGUAAGCUCAAUCAUAAUACAUAAAAACGUUAGGUCAAGGUGUAGCUUAUGGGUUGGAAAGAAAUGGGCUACAUUUCCUAUCAACAGGAUAAGAUUUUUCCCUUAAACGAAAGUCCUCGUGAAACCGAGAACUAAAGAUGGAUUUAGCAGUAAACUAAGAAUAGAGUGCUUAGUUGAAUAAGGCCAUGAAGCACGCACACACCGCCCGUCACCCUCCUCAAGUGCCAACGAUACCCUCAAUUCUAUUUUUACAUAUCACAACCACUAGAGGAGACAAGUCGUAACAAGGUAAGCAUACUGGAAAGUGUGCUUGGAUAACC
This 971-nucleotide non-coding RNA is filed under the name Anoura caudifer (tailed tailless bat). RNAcentral describes it as "partial 12S ribosomal RNA". It matches the Rfam family "Bacterial small subunit ribosomal RNA". The record is from RNAcentral. Lineage: Eukaryota; Metazoa; Chordata; Mammalia; Chiroptera; Phyllostomidae.